RNAcentral lists this ribosomal RNA (254 nucleotides) under uncultured bacterium. RNAcentral's name for it is "partial 16S ribosomal RNA". It matches the Rfam family "Bacterial small subunit ribosomal RNA", at positions 524 to 776 of the family's 1533-position model. The record is from RNAcentral.
CACGGGGGGGAGCAAGCGUUGUUCGGAAUCACUGGGCGUAAAGGGCGUGUAGGCGGUCAGGUUAGUGGGACGUGAAAUGCCCCGGCUCACCCGGGGACCUGCGUCCCAAACUGCCUGGCUUGAGUAUGGGAGAGGAUGAGGGAAUUCCUGGUGUAGCGGUGAAAUGCGUAGAUAUCAGGAGGAACACCGGUGGCGAAGGCGCUCAUCUGGCCCAAUACUGACGCUGAGGCGCGAAAGCUAGGGGAGCAAACGGG